GCACACACACACACACAAAUCCAGGGGUAUCCCACUUCACAGAGUAGAGAGGCGGGACCACACUUCAAAUUCAGAGGACUGAGUGAAUCACGUGCUGCUGACUCAUCAAACCCCACCCUCUUCUCUGACUAUAAGACUGAACAGACUGGUAAAUUUAGACUCUCUCCACCUAUAGUGCUCUUUUAGUUAUUUUCAGACUCUUUCUAUGGCACGCAAACACUGAUGACACAGGCCUCAAACAUUUGAGGAGCUGGAUUUUCCAUACCUUUGUUCAGUCAACAAUAAGACACAACAAGAACUUUAUAGACUGACUGCUGCACUCCUGGUGAGUGAAAUCCUGGACAUUGUGUGCUGGAACCAGUGCUCGGGGCAGUGUUCAUACACAUUCCCCUUGGCAAUGCCCACGACUGUUGCGCCCUAUGCUGCCAGAAUAAACAUCAUAGUGAUUGAGACUUUCUCUUUCUGUCCUAGUUUCGUUCUCCGCCCUCAACUUUCAGUUCUUUUUUAUUUCUACAUCUAGUUUUACACUCUCCUACACA
Long non-coding RNA from Osmerus eperlanus (European smelt), 539 nucleotides. RefSeq lists it as uncharacterized. The transcript is spliced from 3 exons. The record is from RefSeq and is a predicted model, not a curated record. NCBI's taxonomy places the organism in Eukaryota, Metazoa, Chordata, Actinopteri, Osmeriformes, Osmeridae.